RNAcentral lists this long non-coding RNA (305 nucleotides) under Elaeis guineensis (African oil palm). RNAcentral's name for it is "long non-coding RNA (EGUI_LNC043545)". The record is from RNAcentral. Lineage: Eukaryota; Viridiplantae; Streptophyta; Magnoliopsida; Arecales; Arecaceae.
UAUUUGGCUGGGACCAUGGAAAGCAAGGAAUGCUAAAAUAUUCGAUGCCGUGUCUUAUAAGCUUGAUAGUAUCAUUCUUGAAGGUACGGUAUUGGUUGGAGUGGAUUCAAUUGCUUCAUGUUUAUAGGAAAAAAGAUUUGUUAAUUAUUUGUUUGGAAAGAUAGAAUUUUGCUGUACUUCGUUUCAUGCUCUUGAUUUUUUUUAUAUAUUUUUAAUUUUUUUAUUUUUUUGAGAAACACAGUGGUAACAUGACCUUAAGUUUCAUUGAUCAAUGAAAUUAGUCUAAUUAGAGAUAGAAGGAUGGA